UCAAGUGUAGAAACCAUCAGGAUAUGAAUAUAUUCACAUAUUCUUCAGUAAGAAUUGAGUUACAUCAUAGCUCAGACUGGGAACACACACACACGCACACGCACACGCACACGCACACGCACAGACACACGCACGCACAUACACAUGCAGGCACAUAGACACACGCAGGCACGUAGACACAUGCACGCACACACACACACACAAAUACAGUUGACUUCCAUGUCUUGAGCUCAGUUCAAGUGUAGAAACCAUCAGGAUAUGAAUAUAUUCACAUAUUCUUCAGGAAGAAUUGAGUUGCAUCAUAGCUCAGACUGGGAACACGAACACACACACACACA
Long non-coding RNA from Anguilla rostrata (American eel), 338 nucleotides. RefSeq lists it as uncharacterized. Lineage: Eukaryota; Metazoa; Chordata; Actinopteri; Anguilliformes; Anguillidae. The record is from RefSeq and is a predicted model, not a curated record. The transcript is spliced from 2 exons.